CCCCGAGCGGCCGCCGCGCGCGCCCCGCCUGCAGCCCGGGCCGGCGAGGCGAGCCCUCCUUAUGCAAAGCGCGCAGCGGAGCGGCGAGCGGGGGACGCCGCGCACCCGGCCGGGCUCCUCCGGCUUCGCCGCCGCCGCCGCCGCCGCCGCCACCGCAGCCCGCGGAGGACCUUCCCGAGCCUGAAGCCGCCGGCUCGGCACGCACGGAGGCGAGCAGGCGAGGAGGGGCCGGGGCGAGCGAGCGAGCACAUUGGCGUGAGCAGGGGGGAGGGAGGGCGGGCGCGGGGGGCGCGGGCAGGGCGGGGGGUGUGUGCGCGCUCGGAGCUUUCGGGCCAGCCACCGCCGCGCGAGCUAGAAGCGCCCCAGCCCGGCAAGCUGGCUCACCCGCUGGCCACCCAGCACAGCCCGCUGGCCCCUCUCCUGCAGCCCAUCUGGCGGAGCGGCGGCGGCGGCGGCGGCGGCAGGAGAAUGGCAUCAGAACUGGCAAUGAGCAACUCCGACCUGCCCACCAGUCCCCUGGCCAUGGAAUAUGUUAAUGACUUCGAUCUGAUGAAGUUUGAAGUGAAAAAGGAACCGGUGGAGACCGACCGCAUCAUCAGCCAGUGCGGCCGUCUCAUCGCCGGGGGCUCGCUGUCCUCCACCCCCAUGAGCACGCCGUGCAGCUCGGUGCCCCCUUCCCCCAGCUUCUCGGCGCCCAGCCCGGGCUCGGGCAGCGAGCAGAAGGCGCACCUGGAAGACUACUACUGGAUGACCGGCUACCCGCAGCAGCUGAACCCCGAGGCGCUGGGCUUCAGCCCCGAGGACGCGGUCGAGGCGCUCAUCAGCAACAGCCACCAGCUCCAGGGCGGCUUCGAUGGCUACGCGCGCGGGGCGCAGCAGCUGGCCUCGGCGGCCGGGGCCGGCGCCGGCGCCUCCCUGGGCGGCAGCGGCGAGGAGAUGGGCCCCGCCGCCGCCGUGGUGUCCGCCGUGAUCGCCGCGGCCGCCGCGCAGAGCGGCGCGGGCCCGCAUUACCACCACCACCACCACCACCACGCCGCCGGCCACGGCCACCACCACCACCCGACGGCCGGCGCGCCCGGCGCCGCGGGCAGCGCGUCCGCCUCGGCCGGUGGCGCGGGCGGCGCGGGCGGCGGUGGCCCGGCCAGCGCCGGGGGCGGCGGCGGAGGCGGCGGCGGAGGCGGCGGCGGCGGCGGCGGCGGCGGCGGGGGCGCGGCGGGGGCGGGGGGCGCCCUGCACCCGCACCACGCCGCGGGCGGCCUGCACUUCGACGACCGCUUCUCCGACGAGCAGCUGGUGACCAUGUCGGUGCGCGAGCUGAACCGGCAGCUGCGCGGGGUCAGCAAGGAGGAGGUGAUCCGGCUGAAGCAGAAGAGGCGGACCCUGAAAAACCGCGGCUAUGCCCAGUCCUGCCGCUUCAAGAGGGUGCAGCAGAGACACGUCCUGGAGUCCGAGAAGAAUCAGCUGCUGCAGCAGGUCGACCACCUCAAGCAGGAGAUCUCCAGGCUGGUGCGCGAGAGGGACGCGUACAAGGAGAAAUACGAGAAGUUGGUGAGCAGCGGCUUCCGAGAAAACGGCUCGAGCAGCGACAACCCGUCCUCUCCCGAGUUUUUCAUGUACCCAAGGGAAUCCUCUACAUCAGUGAUGUGAAAAACCCUGUUGCCUGAAGUCAAAGAGGUGCAUGUUAUAUCUUAAGGUGUGCAAAUCUACCCAAACUGCAUGGUUUAUCAAGAUCGUGCCUUCUAAGGAAGGUCUUCUAACGUGAACGUCCACAGAGACCACUGCUGUUUGAUGUAACAAUUUCCAUGAUGUUCCUGACAUUGGCUAAGACCCAUCCGGAAGCAACCAAGCCUUACAGAGCUGCCUCAGGGCAGGGCAGGUGGGAUACAUACAUAGGGGAGAGGCCCAUUUGUAGCUUUCCUGUCGCCUAUGGGAGAAGCUGAUGGAACUUGUAUAAAUAGUGUUUCCUGGGUUCGAAGUACCCAUCAGUUUGUUUGGUUUUUUUCCUCCCCUCUAGUCUUACACUUAGCUGAGUGGACAUGUUUUAUCCUGACUGUACCUAUGCCAAUCUGAAUGCAAAGAAAUGUAAGGAAGUGUUCAUUGUUUUAUGAACUGGGAUAAAAACCAAAAAUGAAACGAAACCAAGCAAAGACAGUAGAAGUGUUCAGAAAUCUUUUUAUUUUGUAUAACUUGACUUCCCGUGUUGCCCAUGAAUCAUCUAGAGAAAUACAACGCAAAGCAUGGUUUCCCGAUGCCCAGUGUCCACGUGGGGGCCUUAGCACAGCUGUUUCAUUCAAACAUAAAAUGAAGUAUGUCAUAACCAUGUUUCCCUUGCAGAGCCCGUCAAAAUCUUUUAACAGAAAUGGUGAAUCAGGUGUCCUCAUGCAAAGGACAUGUGAAAACACAGACUGUAAGUUCUGAAUUCUUGGUGCCUCUGUUUAGAAAGCCCAAGUGAGAACAGUGGCUGGUCUUGACUCUGUCUUCAUCACAGGCCCCUCAGGGCUUCUAAAUACUCCGUUUUUAAAGUACGUCCUCCAUACCCCCAGGCAGCAAGGAACAGAGUGCUGUCUUACAUGCAGACUUGGAGCGGACCAAUCCAUCAAAAGUUCCAUGAGUGUGUCUUAAGCGAAUUACAUCAAUGGAUUUGUUGGCACUGAGAAAAAAAAAAGGGGGGGGGGGGAUACUUUCGCUUGAAGUGUUUAUUCCGCGGACUUACUUGUUUGUUUGCUGUUUGUUUAUUUAGGUCAUGCUCCCACAUAACCACUGUCUCACCCCCUUUCUAGACAAAGCCUGCCUAAUAUUCUUUCGGUGGGGACUGGCCCCCUCCUGGGCUGAUGUAAUCAAUUGGGGCAGGUAGAGGAUAACGAGCCAUAUCAAGUCAUAUUUUCCGUGAGCUCUAGGAUACUCUUGAGGGGGCAAUUUAAAGAAAGAAACGGUAUGCAUUUAGGGGGGAAGAAAGGGAAGAAAGAGUUUUUGCAACAAGUACGGCACUCGUGACUUAAAACAAAGCCAUGCUCCUGUAAAAGAGUGUUCCCGCUGAAAGCACACAUUCAGUCAUUCACCUGCCAGAGCCUCAGAUUUACUGCUGCCGUUCGCAGAUGCCAGUGCUGAAACCCUCUUCACCUGCGGACUGCUGAAUCUUCCAUUUCCUCCAUCCAAAAAUCACAGUCAAGUUGUUGUUUAGUGUCUGCAUUGUUUUUGCUUUUCCUGGCACCUAAUGAAACUAUCAGCAAUAAAUGAGCUAAGCAGAA
Molecule: RNA transcript, 3248 nt
Organism: Neofelis nebulosa (Clouded leopard)
Lineage: Eukaryota; Metazoa; Chordata; Mammalia; Carnivora; Felidae
Gene: MAF
Gene name: MAF bZIP transcription factor
Exons: 4
Source: RefSeq, a predicted model, not a curated record